CACGAGCGAAGCUGAACCGCUGGAAGCGGGCCGUAGCGGUGACAGCCCCGUAGGCGUAGGCGAGUGGAAGGGGAGGAACCCUGAGUAGGGCGGGCACGUGAAACCCCGUCCGAAUCCGGCAGGACCAUCUGCCAAGGCUAAAUACUCAUAGGACACCGAUAGCGAACCAGUACCGUGAGGGAAAGGUGAAAAGUACCCCGAAUAGGGGGGUGAAAAAGACCCUGAAACCGUGCGCCUACAAGCGGUCGGAGCCCUUUAGUGGGGUGACGGCGUGCCUUUUGCAUAAUGAGCCUACGAGUUGCUCCUGUCCGGCAAGGUUAAGCGCGGAUACGCGCGGAGCCGAAGCGAAAGCGAGCCUGAAUAGGGCGAUCUAAGUCGGACGGGGCAGACGCGAAACCUUGCGAUCUACCCAUGGCCAGGAUGAAGUUCCGGUAAUACGGAAUGGAGGUCCGAACCAAUAAGCGUUGAAAAGCUUCUGGAUGAGCUGUGGGUAGGGGUGAAAGGCUAAUCAAGCUGGG
RNAcentral lists this ribosomal RNA (518 nucleotides) under uncultured bacterium. RNAcentral's name for it is "bacterial LSU rRNA". It matches the Rfam family "Bacterial large subunit ribosomal RNA", at positions 322 to 842 of the family's 2925-position model. The record is from RNAcentral.